This 434-nucleotide ribosomal RNA is filed under the name uncultured Clostridium sp. Its description in RNAcentral is "partial 16S ribosomal RNA". It matches the Rfam family "Bacterial small subunit ribosomal RNA", at positions 341 to 792 of the family's 1533-position model. Lineage: Bacteria; Bacillati; Bacillota; Clostridia; Eubacteriales; Clostridiaceae. The record is from RNAcentral.
ACGGAAGGCAGCAGUGGGGAAUAUUGCACAAUGGGCGAAAGCCUGAUGCAGCGACGCCGCGUGAGUGAAGAAGUAUCUCGGUAUGUAAAGCUCUAUCAGCAGGGAAGAAAAUGACGGUACCUGACUAAGAAGCCCCGGCUAACUACGUGCCAGCAGCCGCGGUAAUACGUAGGGGGCAAGCGUUAUCCGGAUUUACUGGGUGUAAAGGGAGCGUAGACGGUUUGGCAAGUCUGAAGUGAAAUGCGGGGGCUCAACUCCUGAACUGCUUUGGAAACUGUCGAACUAGAGUGCAGGAGAGGUAAGUGGAAUUCCUAGUGUAGCGGUGAAAUGCGUAGAUAUUAGGAGGAACACCAGUGGCGAAGGCGGCCUGCUGGACGACAACUGACGCUGAGGCGCGAAAGCGUGGGGAGCAAACAGGAUUAGAUACCCUGGUA